Molecule: ribosomal RNA, 484 nt
Filed under: uncultured bacterium
Lineage: Bacteria
Description: partial 16S ribosomal RNA
Rfam family: Bacterial small subunit ribosomal RNA
Source: RNAcentral
AUUGAACGCUGGCGGCAGGCCUAACACAUGCAAGUCGAGCGGAUGAAGGGAGCUUGCUCCUGGAUUCAGCGGCGGACGGGUGAGUAAUGCCUAGGAAUCUGCCUGGUAGUGGGGGAUAACGUCCGGAAACGGGCGCUAAUACCGCAUACGUCCUGAGGGAGAAAGUGGGGGAUCCUCGGACCUCACGCUAUCAGAUGAGCCUAGGUCGGAUUAGCUAGUUGAUGGGGUAAAGGCCUACCAAGGCGACGAUCCGUAACUGGUCUGAGAGGAUGAUCAGUCACACUGGAACUGAGACACGGUCCAGACUCCUACGGGAGGCAGCAGUGGGGAAUAUUGGACAAUGGGCGAAAGCCUGAUCCAGCCAUGCCGCGUGUGUGAAGAAGGUCUUCGGAUUGUAAAGCACUUUAAGUUGGGAGGAAGGGCAGUAAGUUAAUACCUUGCUGUUUUGACGUUACCAACAGAAUAAGCACCGGCUAACUUCGUG